RNAcentral lists this small nucleolar RNA (79 nucleotides) under Ornithorhynchus anatinus (platypus). RNAcentral describes it as "Small nucleolar RNA SNORD102 (ENSOANG00000027751.2)". It matches the Rfam family "Small nucleolar RNA SNORD102". From Rfam's summary of the family: snoRNA U102 is a member of the C/D class of snoRNA which contain the C (UGAUGA) and D (CUGA) box motifs. It is found within intron 3 of the L21 ribosomal protein gene. The record is from Rfam by way of RNAcentral. Lineage: Eukaryota; Metazoa; Chordata; Mammalia; Monotremata; Ornithorhynchidae.
UGCUCGAUGAUGAUUGUCUCGUGUGAUUGUUCUUUUGCAAGAGCAGAAUGAACAUACCAUUUCACCGGCUCUGAGAGCU